RNAcentral lists this long non-coding RNA (605 nucleotides) under Trifolium pratense (red clover). RNAcentral describes it as "long non-coding RNA (TPRA_LNC005196)". The record is from RNAcentral. Lineage: Eukaryota; Viridiplantae; Streptophyta; Magnoliopsida; Fabales; Fabaceae.
AUAAUUAGAUGUAUAUUAAUUAAGAAAUAAUUAGAUGUAGUUAAUUUUUUUAAAACAAUACAUACAAAUCUCAUAAAAAGGAACAAAGGAAAAUUCAAGAAGUGUCACAUCUCUAAGGAAAUAGAUAGUAACCAUUUACUUAUGGAAAAAAUCUACUACAAGAUUCUGAGUAUCAAAAUACUGAAAAAGAAUAGAAUUGCACAUGAAUGCUUUAUGUACAAGUGGUACUUAGAGUCCAAGAUUAGGGAUGUAUGGCUCAAGUUGCUUAUUCUCUUCGAAAUAGAUCUCAAGUAUGUGGUAAUCUUAACAAUGACUAGUGACUUAAGGAGAAACACUUGCUUAGGCACACUCAUUUGAGCACAAGAUUUAGGCACACACACAUAUAAAUAAAAAUAAAUUAAAAUUGUCACAUCAAUUCCACUUUAACCAUUUUAUCUUUAUUUUUUUAAAAUUUUUUGUGAGUGUGCCUAACACAUAUAAUUUAUGCGUGUGUUUGGUUCUGCGGCGGAGAGAAUUGAUUUUGGCAUAAUUGAUUCUGUAAAAUUGAUUCUGGCCAAAAUUGAUUUUAAGCUGAAGUGGUUUAUGUUUGGAUAUAUUCAUGAAAA